AUUGAACGCUGGCGGCAUGCUUUACACAUGCAAGUCGAACGGUAACAGGGUGCUUGCACCGCUGACGAGUGGCGAACGGGUGAGUAAUGCGUCGGAACGUGCCGAGUAGUGGGGGAUAACGCAGCGAAAGUUGUGCUAAUACCGCAUACGUACUGAGGUAGAAAGUGGGGGACCUUCGUGCCUCACGCUACUCGACUGGCCGACGUCUGAUUAGGUAGUUGGUUGGGUAAAGGCCUACCAAGCCAACGAUCUGUAGCUGGUCUGAGAGGACGACCAGCCACACUGGGACUGAGACACGGCCCAGACUCCUACGGGAGGCAGCAGUGGGGAAUCUUGCGCUAAUGCGGGUAACCGUGACGCAGCGACGCCGCGUGAGGGAAGAAGGCCUUCGGGUUGUAAACCUCUUUCAGGAGGGACGAAGCUACUCGGGUUAAUAGCCCAGAGGGUGACGGUACCUCCAGAAGAAGCCCCGGCUAACUACGUGCCAGCAGCCGCGGUAA
This 500-nucleotide ribosomal RNA is filed under the name uncultured bacterium. RNAcentral's name for it is "partial 16S ribosomal RNA". It matches the Rfam family "Bacterial small subunit ribosomal RNA", at positions 30 to 523 of the family's 1533-position model. The record is from RNAcentral.